RNAcentral lists this transfer RNA (69 nucleotides) under Rafetus swinhoei (Swinhoes soft-shelled turtle). RNAcentral's name for it is "tRNA-Ala". It matches the Rfam family "tRNA". From Rfam's summary of the family: Transfer RNA (tRNA) molecules are approximately 80 nucleotides in length. Their secondary structure includes four short double-helical elements and three loops (D, anti-codon, and T loops). Further hydrogen bonds mediate the characteristic L-shaped molecular structure. tRNAs have two regions of fundamental functional importance: the anti-codon, which is responsible for specific mRNA codon recognition, and the 3' end, to which the tRNAs corresponding amino acid is attached (by aminoacyl-tRNA synthetases). tRNAs cope with the degeneracy of the genetic code in two manners: having more than one tRNA (with a specific anti-codon) for a particular amino acid; and 'wobble' base-pairing, i.e. permitting non-standard base-pairing at the 3rd anti-codon position. Lineage: Eukaryota; Metazoa; Chordata; Testudines; Trionychidae. The record is from RNAcentral.
AAGGCUUUAGCUUAAUUAAAGUGUCUGAGUUGCAUUUAGAAGAUACAGGAUAAGGUCUUGUAAGUCUUA